UUCUGUUCACUUUAAAUGUAAUUAUCCAAAGUAUGGUUCCGGAGACAUUGGGAGAUUGAGCACUCCUUCAGAACGAUUCUACGGGGAAAAAAAACAAAAAACAAAAAACAAAAAAACAGUGGCCAGAGACUUGAGCAGGAUGUGUGAAGGGAUUUAAUAAUGGAACUUGUGGCAACAGUAGACUUCAGAGACCAGACUGGCGGCUUGAAGAAAGCUAUUUUCUCGUACCAAAUACAUUCCAUUUCCUAAAUCAGUGCUCCCUGUCAGAUUGUCAAGAGAUGUGAAGUGAAGGAAGCAGUGGCUGUGCGACUGAAACCCUCCCUUGUCAGGGUCCAAAGUCUCUUUUGUUCUUUGGUUUACUUUGUUGUUUUUUUUUCCUACAUCUCAUUGCUUGUCCUAAAAUGAUAAAUAAGAGACUGUCUUUAUCCAAAUGGUGUUAGUAAUCUGCUCACAGGCUAGAAAUCCACGGACAGAAAAAGUAAGUAAACGGAGCCCAGGAAUAGAGAAGGAAGUGCAGGUUGUGGACUGGGCAACCCCCAAGGCGGCAAAGAGGAAACCAGAGACAGGGUCUCGGUCUGUUACCCAAGCUGAAGAGCAAUGGGAUGAUCAUGGCUCACUGCAGCCUCAGAUUCCUGGGCUCAAGUGAUCCUCCCAUCUCAGCCUCCCAAGUAGCUGGACCUACAGACAUCCACCAUCAUGCCUGGGUAAUUUUUCAAUUAUUUUGUGGAAAUGAGGUUUCAUUAUGUUGCCCAGGCAGGUCUCAGAUUCCUGGCCUCACACUAUCCUCCUGCCUUAGCCUCCCAAAGCGCUGGGAUUAUAGGAAUGAGCCACCACACCUGGCCCUUAUCAUUUAUUUGGGUUGCAAACAUUCAAAAUCCUCUCUUCCAGCUAUUCUAAAAUAUAUGACAAACUGUUGCUAAUUAUAGUUACCUUGCCUGGUGCGGUGGCUCUUGCCUGUCAUCCUAGCACUUUGGGAGACUGAGGAGGGAGAAUAUGCUAGAGCCCAGGAGUUUGAGACCAGCCUGGGCAAAAUACUGAGACUUGGAGUGCAACGGUGCAACCACAGCUCACUGCAGCCUAGGCUCAAGUGAUCCUCCCACCUUAGCUUUCCAACUAGCUAGGACUCCAGGUGCGUGCCCACCUAAUUUAUUUGCCCAUUUUUAGUUGUAAUUUUUUUUCUCUUGAGUAUUUUGGGUCCUUGUAUAUUCUGGAUAUUAGUCCCUUUUUUUUUUUCUUUUUUUUUUUUAAGAUGGAGUUUCACUCUUAUUGCCCAGGCUGGAGUGCAGUGAUGCAACCUCAGCUCACCACAACCUCCAUCUCCUGGGUUCAAGCUAUUCUCCUGCCUCAACUUCCCGAGUAGCUGUGAUUACAAGCGCCUGUCACCACACCCGGCUAAUUUUGUAUUUUUAAUAGAGACAGAAUUUCUCCAAGUUGGUCAGGCUGGUCUCGAACUCCUGACCUUAGAUGAUCUACCCGCCUUGGCCUCCCAAAGUGCUGGGAUUACAGGCGUGAGCCACCAUGCCUGGCCUAUUUAGUUCCUUUUUUGGAUAAAUUUUGGUUUGUUUCCUGUGCUUUUGAGAUCCUAUCCAUAAAAUCUUUGCCCAAACCAAUGUCCUGAAGCAAUUCUCUUAUGUUUUCUUCUAGUAGUUUUAUAGCUUCGGGUCUUACAUUUAAGCCUUUAAUCUAUUGAGAGUCGAUUUUCAUAUAGGGUGAGAGAUGGGGUUCUAGUGUCAUUCUGCUGCAUAGGCAUAUCCAGUUUUUCCAGCACCUUUUAUCAAAGACUGUGUUCCCCAGUGUGUGUUUUUGGCACUUUUGUCAAAAGCCAGCUGGCUAUAAAUAUGUGGAUUUAUUUCAAGGUUAUCUUUUCUGUUCUGUUGUUCUGUGUCUGUUUUAUGCCAGACCAUGCUGUUUUGGUUACUAUAGCUUUUAUUUUCUUUUUUCUGACAGUCUUGCUCUAUCGCCCAGGCUGGGGUGCAGUGGUGAGAUCUCAGCUCACUGCAACUUUCACCUUCCAGGUUCAAGGGAUUCUCCUGCCUCAGCCUCCCAAGUAGCUGGGAUUACAGGUGCGCACCACCACGCCUGGCUAAUUUUUGUAUUUUCAACAGAGAUGGGGUUUUGUCAUGUUGGCCAGCCUGGUCUCGAACUCCUGGCCUCAAGUGAUCCGCUCACCUCAGCCUCCUAGAGUACUGGGAUUCCAGGCAUGAGCCACUGCACCCAGCCUACUAUAGCUUUAUCGUAUAUUUUGUUAUUUUUAUUUUAUUUUAUUUUUUUGACAUGGAGUCUCGCUCUCUUCCUCACCUGGGACUGCAGUGGUGCAAUCUUGGCUCACUGCAACCUCCGCCUCCUGGGUUCAGGCGAUUCUUCCACCUCAGCCUCCUGAGUAGCUGGGACUAAAGGCGUGUGCAACCAUGCCCAGCUAAUUUUUGUAUUUUUAGUAGAGAUGGGCUUUUGCCAUGUUGGCCACGCAGGUCUUGUAUGUUGAUUUUGUAUCCCACAAUUUAUUGAAUUUGUUUAUCAGCUCUAAGAGUUUUUCGGUGGCAUCCUUAGGUUUUUCCAAAUAUAAGAUCAUUUCCAAAUCUUAAAUGGUUGAAAAUUACAACUGUGCAAUUUCCUUAUUCCUGAUGGUUUCCCCUCUCAUUUCCAAAUGGUCUUGUAUUUGACUGGUGCAGUUUGACUUCCUCCUUUCCAAUUUGGACGCCCUUUAAUUUUUUCUCUUGCCUAAUUGCUCUAGCUAGUAUUUCCUCACAUGCUUUUGAAGCCAAGAUAUAUGACUGUAUGUUUAUCAACACUCAAGGAGAUUCAUCACUGUUGUAGAGGACAUUGAUAAGUUUCCCAAAGUGUGUUUUUCAGCAAGUCAACUGAUAGUGCCUGUAGACUGAAUAGUGUUGAUUUCCCAAGUCAUUUGCUGAUACAUUUCUGGGGAAGAGAGGCAGUUGUGAGACUGCAGGCCCUAAUGAAACGAUUUCAGUUGAAAACAGGCUGGCUCUGAACUAUUCUUUGUUAUCAUAAGAACUCACUGAAAUAUAAUGACCUACUUUGAAGUAAAGGAAGGAGCUCAUAAAGAUUUAGGUAAGAUGAAGUGACUGAGAUCAUUUUUUCAGCUCCCUCUGUCAGCAUCCUUACUUCCUUCUUCUCGUUACCCAUCAAGUCCUAAUGAAUCUACCUUCUAAAUGUUUCUCAGGGCUGAUUCUUCGUUUUCAUCCUCUAGUACUAUCUGCAUUCAGGAUCUCAUUUCAUCUCACCUGCAUCACUGUGAUAGCUUCCUUAUUGAUGCUUUUGUCUUCAUCCGGUCUCUCACCCCUUCCAAACCAUCCUCCACGUGAGCCUGGCUAUGGAAGGCUGUUCUGCCCAUCUCCAGGGAACACAGCUCUGAUGUGAAUGGCACCCCCUGGAGUUCUUUCAUUUCUUGUAUCCCAACAACUCGGGGAAUAGAAAACAUGAGUACCUGAGGCUUUUUUACAUACAUAAUCAUCCCAAGGAAUUUAUGAGUGAGAGUUUCUAAAAGCAAGCUAAUUUAAUCCUGUAGCAUGUUUGCAUUUUUGCUCAAAAGCCUUAACUCUUGUUAAAUAUAAUUCACUUUCCUGUGGCUUUAAAUGUUACCCAGCUCUGAAAUAAGGUGGCUUUUAUGAUAAGAAUUGCUUUCCUCCUGAGCUUGAAGCACAGCCAUGCGUAGAACAGUAAAACUAACUUAAAUGAGAAUGAUUACUAAAUAACUGUGGCUUCAAAGAGAAGAUAGGUAAUAAUACUUUGCAUUCAUACAAGCCUGCCUUUCAUUUGAGUAUCGCAAAGGAAAGCAAAAUGUAGCUGAUGCUGUGUUAUGGUUGAAAAUUACAACUGCGCAAUUUCUUUAUUCCUGUUUCCCCUCUCAAAUAUGAUACCGAGUUAAAGCAUCUCUAGAAUUCAAUGUGUAUUGAUUUUGAACACAGGCUUUUUCUGUCUGUUUUCUACCCCUUUAACAUCAACCACAAGUUGCAAAGGCAUCAGUGAACCACAUGCUUUUGUGGUUUUGAAGCAUUUGCUAUCACUGGAGAAAAAUAUAAUGAUAAAGGAUAGAAGAAUUUCUUACUCAGCUGUUUUAAACUUAUGGUGGAAAAAUAAAGAGAUGAAGAUAGAGACAGAAUAUUCUCUGCACCCCCAGAAUCAGUUCAUUCAUGGUGCUAACAAACACUUCAAGAAUGUGCCAGAGAACUCGCCUGAUUCACUUUACUGAAACACAAGAUUCACAAGAUGGAAUGUCAGUAUUGCAACUGUGAUGCCUUUAUAUCAUGUGAGAAGAACAAUAGAGUCCUGGGAGGCAAGUGCAGAUGACCCCAAGGUCCUUGUGGACAAGGAAGUAAAAGCUAAGAAGAAAUGGCACGUUUCUUAGGAAACAUUUCAAUAUUGUUAUUUAUACAAGGAUGCAGAGAACAGUACAGCUGGAGAAUUAAAUGGAGAGAUCAGCGCACAGAUGGGCCCCAGGUACUGAAGAUAAGAAUAUAGAGAAGUUUUUCUUCUGACAGACUUGCUGGAAGCCAGGUGGCUAUCGCUGGUAACAAUCCAGGAAGCUAACGGAUAACUUCUGUAACAACUGGACCCACACGGCCAGGACUUGAUUAAUGACUGACAUCUACCCUAAUUUUUGUGCCUACAUCCAAUUUAAGACCAAACAGAGAAAACGAAACACGCACCCCUAACCGAUCAUGCAGAAUGCCCCUACUUCUGUUUAGCCCGCCUACAGCUUCCCCAUGGCAAUAGCCUCCAAUCAGGAUACACCUGAACCCUUCCCUCCCCACCCACUGCCCUGCUAUAAAGCUUUCUCAUUUCUCUGCCUUUGAAUCACUGCCAAAACACAGCGACAGUAGCUAACUCCCUUGUUGUAUAGCAGGCUGUGAAAAAAUAGCACUUGCAUUUCUCAUUUGAUUGGUCGUCAUUUAUUUCUAUAACCAUGUGUUUCAUUCAUGCAAUUCAGAAGUUUCUUUGGAAUAACUUGCAGAGUAAACUAAAAAAUAUUUAUUUGCUAUGAUACUUUAUAUAUAUUUUCUGCUUAUUUAAGUUCCCUACUGAGGUUUUGAAAUUCUCCCUGAUGCUGGUAGUAUAAAAAUCUUAUUUGAAGCAAAUCAAUUAAUCCUGAAGAUGACUGAAAGAUCAAUAUGAGAUAGCUGCAGAUAAACCAACUAUUCUCUAAGCUCUAGGACACCUUCAAACAGCACAUUCUGCCUUUUAAUACAAGUAUUUACACACUGAUUUCAGUUGUAAAGAAAUGAGAAACUUCAAGUAUAAAAAGCUUGGGACUAUGAAAACCAAGCGUUUUGUCUAAACAUCUUUUGUUGUUGUUCUUGGUAAAAAAGAAGGCUUCGGGGCUGGUGGCACGCGCCUGUAGUCCCAGCUACUGGGGAGGCUGAGGCAAGAGAAUCGCUUGAAUCCAGG
This 5406-nucleotide long non-coding RNA is filed under the name Homo sapiens (human). RNAcentral describes it as "HSALNT0058492". Lineage: Eukaryota; Metazoa; Chordata; Mammalia; Primates; Hominidae. The record is from RNAcentral.